RNAcentral lists this long non-coding RNA (1219 nucleotides) under Equus asinus (donkey). RNAcentral describes it as "lncRNA (ENSEASG00005038529.1)". The record is from RNAcentral. Lineage: Eukaryota; Metazoa; Chordata; Mammalia; Perissodactyla; Equidae.
GCCAGGUUAAACAACUUGUACUAAAUUCAGUCAACAAUGGGGACAACAGAAAGCUUUCACUGGGGUAUGACAUAAUUAGAGCUGUGGUGGGGCAGUCUUUUCAAACUGUGUGAUACGACCCAUUAGUGGGCCACAAACUCAAUUUCGUGGGUCAUUAAUUAAACAAACAUCAUAAAAACCUUAAAUACAAAAAAAAGGGGGGGCCAGCCCGGUGUCCGAGUGGUUAAAUUCGCACUCCGCUUUGGUGGCUCAGGGUUUCGCCGGUUCGGAUCCUGGGCACCGACAUGGCACCGCUCAUCAGGCCAUGCUGAGGCGGCGUCCCACAUGCCACAACUAGAAGGACUCACAACUAAAAUAUACAACUAUGUACAGGGGGGCUUUGGGGAGAAAAAGGAAAAUAAAAUCUUAAAAAAAUAUCAGAGUGCAGUACUGCCUUGUGAGUUUUGUACGAGUGUGCUGGGUUGUGAAGUAAAAUACAUUGCUUAUUGUGAAUCAUGGCCAAAAAAUGUGAAAGCCCCAGCUUUCGGAAGAUUAAUCUGGCGGCAAAUCGUAGGCCGAAUUAGGAAUUCAGAGAAGGAGCCUUGAGGCUGGGGGUCUAGUUAGGAUGGUCUUGUCAUAGCCCUUUGAGUGGGCAGUGAGAAGGGAGUGAAAGGGAAGGAGAAGCCAUGAGAAGGGAAAGGGGGGGAGGGCAUGAGGGAUUCUGUGGGGUUAGAGUCUCAGGGGGUGGGGACUUGUCAGAUUGCGGGGGAUCAGGGAAUGGGAGCAACCAGUCACAGAUGACUAAAAGUCACUCCCCAGUCCUUGGGAAAUGCUGGCGCCCACAGCCAAGGGGGCAGUUGGGAGAAGGCACGAGUUUGAGAACUAGCACAAAAGACAGCUGGAAAGACACAAAAUGACCAUCAGGUACUGAUCAGCCAGGGUCCCAGCAGGAAACACACUCCACUGAGCUGGUUCCAGUGCAGAGAUCUGAAGGAAUGGAGGAUGUCCGGAGCUGUGGGCAGGCUGAAGGGAACCAGCCUGGGACGAUGGACAAAGUGCUUCAGACGCAGUAGGAAAAGAACAAGGGCUGUCCAGAAGAAUGUCAGUCUGAGAUAAAUCGCAUGUCAGGAAGAGAAAAUCCACUGUGUUAAGAACCAUGAAAUCUGUAGGCCCAGACAAAUUAUGUCCUAGGAUGUGGGUUGCAAACUUUUUAGUAGUAUAACUUUUUCAGACAAAUUUU